AGGAUGAACGCUGGCGGCGUGCCUAAUGCAUGUAAGUCGCACGCACCACUUCGGUGGUGAGUGGCGGACGGCUGAGGAACACGUGGGUAUCUGCCCUGGGGUGGGGGAUAACGCAGCGAAAGCUGUGCUAAUCCCGCAUACGUUCCCACUUUUAGCGAGUGGGAGGAAAGCAGUAAUGCGCCCUAGGAGGAGCCUGCGGCCCAUCAGGUAGUUGGCGGGGUAACGGCCCACCAAGCCGGUGACGGGUCCCUGGUCCUGAGAGGACGACCAGGCAGACUGGGACUGUGACACGGCCCAGACUCCUACGGGAGGCAGCAGCAAGGAAUUUUCGGCAAUGGGCGCAAGCCUGACCGAGCAACGCCGCGUGGAGGAUGACGGCUUUCGGGUUGUAAACUCCUUUUGCCAGGGAAGAUACGGACGGUACCUGGCGAAUAACGCCCCGGCUAACUCUGUGCCAGCAGCCGC
Molecule: ribosomal RNA, 465 nt
Filed under: uncultured bacterium
Lineage: Bacteria
Description: SSU rRNA
Rfam family: Bacterial small subunit ribosomal RNA
Source: RNAcentral